UAUGUUUGUGUCUUUCUCCUCCUCCUCGUUUCUACCCUCCCCUCUCAUCGCCCUUGCGGAGGAGUCCUUUGGCUUGGAUUCUGAAUUCCAUGCCCCGCUAUGGUGCCCACCACUUCGUACACGAUCGGCGUCUUACCCGUCGGCGGUGUGCCGUAGCCCCUGGCUUAAUUGCGUGUAAGUUUCUGGAGGAGUAAGAGUGGUGUGUGUUUGGAAUGAGGUUUUAGCGUUUUGCCUUGAGAAAUUGAGGUCGUCCAGAGGGUGGAGGAGGAAGAGUUGGCAUAGUUGGAUUGUACAUUGGUGACGAGGUGUUGGCGGUACGGUGCGGAGGUUAGUGAUAGGAGAGUUUCUGGAGGUUGUUAAGUGAUGCGAGGAGGGCGUUCAAUUUUGAACGCGUUUGGGAGUGUGAGGUUUGGCUCUAUGGCGUGGGGUUGUGUGUGAUUCGUGGUGUGGCAUUGGCUUUCGAGGAGCGGUCGAGAGUGUUUCUAUUCUGUAUUUUUUUUUUUUUUUCUCUCUCUCUCUCUCUCUCCACCUCCCUCCCUCUCCCUAUUUCUAUUUGUUUGAAAGUGCUUAGUGGCGAUGGCUGGAAGAGUAGAGGUCGAUUUCUGGGGGAUGGCUGCAGCUUCGUUCUCGGUAGGUUUUCUGUAACGAGCCUGGACCAUUUCGGCCAGAUAGUUUGAGCAUUUUGCGCGUAUUCCUUGGUUAGCGGCAGGUUCCAUGUUUCAUUCCCUGGUGCAUUGAAGUCUUAGAUUGAAAUCUCAGACUGCGGAAGGGAGCAUUUAGUAAUUUUGAGUACCUUCCUCGGAGAGACCGGGUGGUUUGAGUAGCUUUGCUUCUCGGACGAUAGGUGUACGGAAUUCAUGGCGUACGUACACGCUGAUAUUAGGAUCAUCCUCUUCUUAUAGUUUCCCUGUUUAGAUGUAACAGCGAAAUGUGCGAGCGGAUUGCAUUUUUCUCCGAAGAACAAGAUGAUUUGAGCAGAUUGAGGAGCAGGGGUUGCUACAGGAACGUCAAGUAAGUGGUUACAGCAUGGGCAAUUCGUUUGGUUGCUCUGCGUCAGGAGAGCGCUUGGUAUCCGCAGCACGUGAUGGAGAUUUGCAAGAGGCACAGGCUCUAUUGGAAUGCAAUCCCCGUUUGGCAAAGUAUUCCACCUUCGGAGUGCGCAAUUCGCCCCUUCACUUCUCGGCAAUGCAAGGGCACAAUGAGAUUGUAACAUUACUUCUCGAAUGCGGAGUAGAAGUCAAUACGAGGAAUUACUGUGGACAGACUGCAUUAAUGCAGGCUUGUCGUUAUGGGCACUGGGAGGUGGUACAAACUUUGCUACUCUACCGAGCAAAUGUGAACAGAGCAGACUAUCUAAAUGGUCGCACAGCUCUACAUUUCGCAGCAGUCAGUGGCCACUCACGGUGCAUACGCUUGAUCUUAGCUGAUUUUGUGCCCAGUAUUAUCCAUCCGUCGAACAUAUUGCAGCCAGUGAACUGCGAUGAAUCGGCACCUGUGAAAAAUUACCCAGAUCGAAGUUCUUUGGCUAGGGUUGUGAACAGAGCCGCUGAUGGAGGUAUUACGUCACUUCAUAUGGCUGCUCUAAAUUGCCACACCGAGUGCUUACAAUUGCUGUUGGAUCUUUCUGCAAACGUCAAUGCAGUAACCAUUCAAGAUGGCACUACUAUUGACUUGAUAGGAGCAGGUAGUGCGCCGUUGCAUUAUGCUGCUUGUGGAGGCAGUAUACCCUGCUGCCAGGCUCUUAUUGCGAAAGGGGCAAGUCGAAUUGCUACCAACUGCAACGGAUGGACACCUUUGCAAGUGGCACGGUUAUUGCGGCGGCACUGGCUGGAGCCUCUGUUGAUCCCAGACUCAUCAAUUCCUGUCCAACCUUUACCACCAUCGCGCUAUCUCGCCCUCCCUCUCUCCAGCAUUAUGAAAAUAGCUAGGGAUUGUGGCUGGCGAAUCGUAGAUCCUGCGCCUGUGGACGCUGACCCAUGUUCUGUCUGUUUGGAAAGACGGUGCACUGUGGCUGCAGAAGGUUGCGGACAUGAACUUUGCACUCGUUGUGCUCUCUACCUGUGCUCCACCAACAUCAUUGCAACUGCAACCUCAAGUCCACCGGGAGCCAUUCCCUGUCCUCUUUGUAGACAUGGCAUUGUUUCAUUUGUGAAACUCCCGACUACCAUGUCCCUCAAGGAUCUUGCUAAAAUGAACUUGGCUUCUCUUACUCUUUGUACCACAUGCACCAUGGAAAUCCCGGAGCUAAAUUCUGCAAGAGCCCUCCUGCAUAAGGGUGAAAACCGAGGUGGUUGUCGAGUUUCUCCGCUUUCCAUCCACUCCUUAAGAUUGACUUGUCCUGGCUUCUCUUCUCUGAACUGUCCAGGAGGUUUCGGUUCAAAUGAUGAGAAUUCCGGCUGUACAUCCCCUGCUGUGACAUGCGGCUUUGCAAGGUCAGAUUCUCGGUCUGAGGUCCGAACUGAUGACCCUACAACAAUUGAGACUCUUGCUUGGCCUUUGCCUUCCAGGGUGUCGAUCCUUAGAACCACUCCAGUGGUAGCGGCAAAUACUCUGCCUGUACAGCCCCCCAAUAACGAUGGUGUGCCGUCUACUUCUAAACCUGCCCCACAGAGAGACUACUCUUCCCCGAAGGUGACGACCAGGCGGUGGUUAAGGGAACCAUUUCGAUGGAGCAACUAUGCUAGCUUGCGGUCUCAAAGGAAUUAGUCUCAAGUAUAUCCACUUCUUCACUGCACUCUUUACUUCUCAUUCUUGGCUUUACGUGGGAGACGGUAAUUCAAGGGCAACACGAUUACAGUCCGUAUUUAAGCGAGUGGCAGGUGAAAAUCAGGAGCUAUCGUACUUCUUGAACAUCAUGAUUUGAUGUGAAACCUUCUUUCAAGAAGUGGAUUUGGGUACAUAUUGCGUACACAUACUGACUACGAUCGGGAACGCCCAAGAAUAUUUGUACUAUGUGAUACACAAAUGAAUUUGUCGAUAAGUGCGAUCUUGUCUAGCAUGCGCUUGCGACUAUCUUCUCAUUUAUUGUA
This is a non-coding RNA of Physcomitrium patens, 3029 nucleotides long. The record is from RefSeq and is a predicted model, not a curated record. Lineage: Eukaryota; Viridiplantae; Streptophyta; Bryopsida; Funariales; Funariaceae.